This 253-nucleotide ribosomal RNA is filed under the name uncultured bacterium. Its description in RNAcentral is "partial 16S ribosomal RNA". It matches the Rfam family "Bacterial small subunit ribosomal RNA", at positions 524 to 776 of the family's 1533-position model. The record is from RNAcentral.
UACGUAGGGAGCAAGCGUUGUUCGGAUUUAUUGGGCGUAAAGGGCGCGUAGGCGGCGUGGCAAGUCACUUGUGAAAUCUCCGAGCUUAACUCGGAACGGUCAAGUGAUACUGCUGUGCUAGAGUGCAGAAGGGGCAAUCGGAAUUCUUGGUGUAGCGGUGAAAUGCGUAGAUAUCAAGAGGAACACCUGAGGUGAAGACGGGUUGCUGGGCUGACACUGACGCUGAGGCGCGAAAGCUAGGGUAGCAAACGGG